Molecule: ribosomal RNA, 253 nt
Filed under: uncultured bacterium
Lineage: Bacteria
Description: partial 16S ribosomal RNA
Rfam family: Bacterial small subunit ribosomal RNA
Source: RNAcentral
UACGUAGGUGGCAAGCGUUGUCCGGAAUUAUUGGGCGUAAAGCGCGCGCAGGCGGUCCUUUAAGUCCGAUGUGAAAGCCCACGGCUCAACCGUGGAGGGUCAUUGGAAACUGGGGGACUUGAGUACAGAAGAGAAGAGUGGAAUUCCACGUGUAGCGGUGAAAUGCGUAGAGAUGUGGAGGAACACCAGUGGCGAAGGCGACUCUUUGGUCUGUAACUGACGCUGAGGCGCGAAAGCGUGGGGAGCAAACAGG